UUGAUACUGUUAAGGAAGGACUGAAAAGAAAAACAUUUUCACAAUGAUCAUCAUAGUGGAAAAUGUGCUACGAGCAGCAGCGACUGAAAACUGGACCCUGUUUCGCUCGCCUGUACAUCUCUGACAGUCAGCCCAGAGCCAAUUUCCAGCAGAACAACAGAAAGAAAUGCUAUAUCCAGGACCGCGGUGCUGCUGGUUGCCUCAGCAACAGCUAGAACCAGACGCAGGGAAACUUGGGUAGGUCCACAGCCGAGUCAGGCUAUGUUAAUGGUAAACUAUUAGUCACUGACAGCAGAGGACGGCACGCUCGCAGUUGUCUCCAUCAGUCACACACCAACACUGGCGGAAGACGCGCCGACGACCACUCGCAGCGAAACACACAGAAACCCGACGCUGGCCGGAGAAAUCUGCUGUUUUUGAGGAAAACGCGGCACAUCCUGACAUGUAUGCAACACAAACAAUCAGCCUGCACAUCAGCGCAGGCAGCAGGCGUCACUUGUGCCAGUGCAGCAUCGCUGGAGGACAUUUGUUCAAAGCGGGGAGAAAGGAAACGCCACAUUCUGGCGUGUUCACACAGAACGACUGCACUGCUCCGACACGGCUGCGCUCCGCCGCACACGCGCCCGUUCUAACACAGCUGUAUGCAGGCAUGCUUUGCAACAUCUGUCAAUUCAUCCCAGUGUGACGUCCGAACGCAUGCAUCCCUCCUUCACCUCCUCAGCCUCUCUAAGAAGACGGAGUAAAUGCAGGGAUGGGGGGGAUGAAAUGUCAUGGCAGGUACCUGUAAAUGAACCAGAUGCUCCUAUUCAAAGGGCCCAGCGACGGCCAGGAAGAAGAGAGGGAGAGGGAGAGGGAGAGAUCCUCCUCGCCGCAUGCCCCCAUCGCCAUUUCCUCCCCUCCCUCUCCUCCUCCUUCUCCUGCUCCUUCUCCUUUCCGUCUUCCAGCAAGACAGCAGCGAGUAAGAGCCGCGAGAAAGGAGAAGGAGGAGGAGGAGAGGAGGAGGAGGAAGAGGAGAGAGAGACGGAGGAAGGGAAAGGGAGAGGGCCAAGCUCUCCCAGCCCCUUCAUACUUAAGACAGAGAGGAGGAGGAGGAGGAGGAGGACUGGGAGAGAGUGAGGGAUUGAGAUGGUUAGCAGUGACUGCGACACAGUGAAGGAGAGAGAGGGAAGGAGGCGAGUUUGAAGGAGUGAGAGAGAGAGGUGAUUGGAUUGGUUUGCAGGGGGCUUCACUCUGAUAAAAAAUCAUAAUUUUUGGUGUUUUUAACAUGUGAUAGUGGCAUUUUUCAUGAUGGAAAACAUGUUUGAAGUAAAUUAAGCUUAAAAUAGCA
Molecule: long non-coding RNA, 1327 nt
Organism: Oryzias melastigma (Indian medaka)
Lineage: Eukaryota; Metazoa; Chordata; Actinopteri; Beloniformes; Adrianichthyidae
Exons: 2
Source: RefSeq, a predicted model, not a curated record